RNA transcript from Lolium perenne, 2160 nucleotides. It is a transcript of the gene named protein ROOT PRIMORDIUM DEFECTIVE 1, with no coding region annotated. The record is from RefSeq and is a predicted model, not a curated record. NCBI's taxonomy places the organism in Eukaryota, Viridiplantae, Streptophyta, Magnoliopsida, Poales, Poaceae.
UUGAGUACCCCUCAACCCAAAGCGCUCCUCUGUUCAUUCCCCUUCCCCCGCGUCGAUCCCACACCGCUACCCCUGGUCGCCGACUCGCCGUCGCUCUCCCCCUGCGGCCACCAGGCUCUCCCCCUGUAUCCUCGUGCAGCUCCCCGACGACUCUUCGCACGGCGGAGCUCGCUCCAUCCACCUCGAGCACAUCCUGUUCGAUGAAAUGCCCAGCUCGUUGUCCCUUGUUUCUCCAGUCGUAUCCGCAACUGCACACAUGAUACAUAUUUAGCAGACUCGAUUGAGUAAGUCGGAGUUGCUCAUUUACAGUACGGAUUCAUUUCUUUUUCCUUGUCACUGGAUUGCUGUUGUAUGUACACUCUGAGUUAAUAAGGAUUGGGUUGGUAGCAUACAAGUGAGAUGGCAUUUAAGGUGUUAGGCCGAAUAAAUCUGCAUGCACUUUCCCUCCGCCUGCACAUGCUGGAUGAGGUGUUCUGUUGCGGCCCCUUCAACUGUAGCAUGCAGAGGAGGUGGAAGAAGCCAGUGGAUUCGGCGCGGACUCGUCUGGAGGGCAGAACGAGAGACCAUAGGCUGGACAAGCUGAUGAUUCAGCUCAGGAACUUGAGGCAGGCUUUGGAUUUGCACGAGGUGAUAUCUCAGCAGAGGAACGGCUACGCAUCUCUCCAGCUCCUUUUGAGGUGGAGGCGUGAGAUUGGGUUGAACAUUGAGAUCGGUGCUUUCCUCAAGAAAUACCCCCAUAUUUUCGAGAUUUAUGUGCACCCCGUCAAAAGGAACCAUUGUUGUAGGGUCACCCCAAAGAUGGCUGAUUUGGUCGCAGAAGAAGAUGCUGUCGUCAGGGAGAACGAGCCCGCCAUAGUUCAGCGGCUGAAGAAACUUCUCAUGAUGUCUACGAAUGGAACUCUGAAUAUGCAUGCGAUCUGGCUCAUCAGGAAGGAGCUCGGUCUGCCCGAUGACUACAGGUCUUCUAUACUGCCAAACCAUCAGUCUCAGUUUUCUCUUGAAAUCCCUGAUACUUUGACAUUGAUCUCUAGGGACGAGAAUCUAGCUGUAGCUAAUGUCGAAAAAUGGAGGGAGAAGGAGUAUACAGAGAAAUGGCUAGCAGAAUAUGAGACAAAAUAUGCUUUUCCAAUUAACUUCCCUACUGGAUUUAAGAUUGAGAAAGGAUUUAGGGAAAAGCUUAAGAAUUGGCAGAGGCUUCCUUAUACCAAACCUUACGAGGAAAACGGUUUGCAUCCAAUCAGCAAUGCUGAGCGGCUUGAGAAACGCAUUGUUGGUAUUAUUCAUGAGCUUUUAAGCUCGACAGUAGAAAAGAUGAUUCCACUUGAGAGGCUGGCACACUUCAGGAGACCUUUCUCUAUGGAGGUAAACAUGCGGGAACUUCUUCUUAAGCACCCUGGCAUUUUCUACAUUUCGACCAAAGGAAGCACACAAACAGUGCUUCUUAGGGAGAGUUACAGUAAAGGAUGUCUGGUUGAGCCUAACCCUGUUUAUAGUGUCCGAAGGAAAAUGCUAGAUCUCAUAUUGUCUGGAUGUCGUAACAUUGGUGAAACUGAAAAGGUAACUUGGCUCGUUGAGGAGGACAAUCAAGGAAGCAGUCAUGGGCUACAUAAUCACACAUGGCCGGUGGAUAGCAUGAAUUCCAUGUUGCAGUUUGAAAGUGACUCCUGUGGAGAAGAGGUAUCUUCUUGUGACUUGCGCGAAAGUAAGAUUCAAUGAAGCUAUGCAGUAACAGGACAAGGUGCUCUCUGAAGUAGUUGUGAAACUGGGCUUCCUAAAUUUUGUACCCAAAAAACUCCCAUCAGAGCAAGUAACAGAGAGGUAAUGGCCAAUGCAUCCUCAAGAUUCAGUUUCUCAAAGUUCACCAAGGAGAGAGUUCCCCUACCUGAAUAUUUAAUUGACCAUGUCAAAGUUAUGCAAACACAGAGGGUUGGUGAGCAGGGAUACAGGGUUGAAAAGAAAUUAAGAGGUGCCAUCUGGCUGGACAGUGACUGCCUCAUCGGAAAGAAAUGUCUCAAGAUUAUGUAAAUAUCACAAUCAGUGUCUUCAACAGUCUGUAUGUUCAUUCAUGAGUCUCAAACUCAGACACGUAAACUGUAAUUUUGAACAGGAUGCAUCUCUCACCUUGUGGACUUUUAAUCUAUUUCAGGUAAUAAAGUCCAA